This 1025-nucleotide ribosomal RNA is filed under the name uncultured archaeon. Its description in RNAcentral is "bacterial SSU rRNA". It matches the Rfam family "Archaeal small subunit ribosomal RNA", at positions 325 to 1353 of the family's 1478-position model. The record is from RNAcentral.
ACGGGGUGCAGCAGGCGCGAAAACUGUGCAAUGCGCGAAAGCNGCGACACGGGAAGCCUGAGUGCCUUAACUAUGUUAAGGCUUUUCUUGAGCCUAAAAAGCUCAAGGAAUAAGAACUGGGUAAGACGGGUGCCAGCCGCCGCGGUAACACCCGCGGUUCGAGUGGUAGUCACUUUUAUUGAGCCUAAAGCGUUUGUAGCCGGAUUUGUAAAUCUCCAGGAAAAGACUUCAGCUCAACUGAAGAAAUUUUGGAGAGACUGCAAAUCUAGGGACCGGGUGAGGUUGAAUGUACUUCUGGGGUAGGGGUAAAAUCCUGUAAUCCUGGAAGGACGACCGGUGGCGAAGGCGUUCAACUAGAACGGAUCCGACGGUGAGGAACGAAGGCUAGGGGAGCAAACCGGAUUAGAUACCCGGGUAGUCCUAGCUGUAAACACUGCCCACUUGGUGUUGCAUCUCCGGUAAGGGGGUGCAGUGCCGUAGCGAAGGUGUUAAGUGGGCCGCUUGGGGAGUAUGGUCGCAAGGCUGAAACUUAAAGGAAUUGGCGGGAGAGCACCGCAACGGGAGGAGCGUGCGGUUUAAUUGGAUUCAACGCCGGAAAACUCACCGGAGGCGACCUAUGUAUGAGAGUCAACCUGAUGAGUUUACUCGAUAGUAGGAGAGGUGGUGCAUGGCCGUCGUCAGCUCGUACCGUAGGGCGUUCACUUAAGUGUGAUAACGAGCGAGACCCCCAUCUUCAAUUGCUAAUUCAAUCGUGAGGUUGGAAGAACUUUGAAGGGACCGCCAGCGCAGAGCUGGAGGAAGGAGGGGUCGACGGCAGGUCAGUACGCCCCGAAUCUUCCGGGCUACACGCGCGCUACAAAGGACAGGACAAUGGGCUGCGACCUCGAAAGGGGAAGCCAAUCCCGAAACCUGUUCGUAGUUAGGAUUGAGGGCUGUAACUCGCCCUCAUGAAUCUGGAUUCCGUAGUAAUCGCGGGUCAACAUCCCGCGGUGAAUAUGCCCCUGCUCUUUGCACACACCGCCUGU